CAGUCGUACCUUCGGGAAUCAGCCUUUCGGGUGGAUCUUGGAGUGUGGUGAGCUUAAACCCUCCAUGCUUUGCAUAUUUGUGCUCUGGGUGUACUUGCCCCUGUGGUUGGUUAACAUCAAAUUUGGUUAUCAUAAAAUGAUGGGAGGAAUGUGGCUUCGAUCUCGUAUUGAAGUGUUAUAGCCUUCGGUAGAUGUGAUGAACGAGAUUGAGGAUUGCAACGGAUACCCUUCGGGGCUACCUGUCUGGUCUCUGAUCGUUGCUCUGGUGCCGAAAGCUUGCUUACGGUCAUCAAAGUCGAUGGUCAAUAGGUUAGAACGGGUUAAA
Molecule: ribosomal RNA, 325 nt
Filed under: uncultured fungus
Lineage: Eukaryota; Fungi
Description: LSU rRNA
Source: RNAcentral